Molecule: transfer RNA, 73 nt
Filed under: Candidatus Riesia pediculicola
Lineage: Bacteria; Pseudomonadati; Pseudomonadota; Gammaproteobacteria; Enterobacterales; Enterobacteriaceae
Also listed under: 1 other name
Description: tRNA-Arg
Rfam family: tRNA
About the family: Transfer RNA (tRNA) molecules are approximately 80 nucleotides in length. Their secondary structure includes four short double-helical elements and three loops (D, anti-codon, and T loops). Further hydrogen bonds mediate the characteristic L-shaped molecular structure. tRNAs have two regions of fundamental functional importance: the anti-codon, which is responsible for specific mRNA codon recognition, and the 3' end, to which the tRNAs corresponding amino acid is attached (by aminoacyl-tRNA synthetases). tRNAs cope with the degeneracy of the genetic code in two manners: having more than one tRNA (with a specific anti-codon) for a particular amino acid; and 'wobble' base-pairing, i.e. permitting non-standard base-pairing at the 3rd anti-codon position.
Source: RNAcentral
GCGUCCGUAGCUCAUGGGAGAGAGCGCUGUUCUCCGAAGAUAGAGGUUGCAGGUUCGAAUCCUGUCGGACGCA